RNAcentral lists this ribosomal RNA (457 nucleotides) under Paris verticillata. RNAcentral's name for it is "eukaryotic LSU rRNA". The stretch from base 317 to 457 matches the Rfam family "Eukaryotic large subunit ribosomal RNA", at positions 1 to 141 of the family's 3401-position model. Lineage: Eukaryota; Viridiplantae; Streptophyta; Magnoliopsida; Liliales; Melanthiaceae. The record is from RNAcentral.
UGCAGAAUCCCGUGAAUCAUCGAGUUUUUGAACGCAAGUUGCGCCCGAUGCCAUUCGGCAGAGGGCACGCCUGCCUGGGCGUCACGUCUUGCGUCGCUCGGUGCCAACUACGCCCGCGGGUCGAAAGUGUUGGCACGGAUGCGGAGAUUGGCCUCCUGUGCCCUUGUGCGCGCGGUGGGUUGAAGAGUGGGAUGCCAACGGAGACGGACACGACGAGUGGUGGAUGCGAGCCGGACGUCGUGGUCUCGUCCUCUAAAGGCUCGGGGGCCCCUUGUGACACCCAGUAGGGUUGCGCUGCAAGCGUUGCCUAGCAUUGCGACCCCAGGUCAGGCGGGAACACCCGCUGAAUUUAAGCAUAUCAAUAAGCGGAGGAGAAGAAACUUACGAGGAUUCCCUUAGUAACGGCGAGCGAACCGGGACAAGCCCACCUUGAGAAUCGGGCGGCUCUGUCGUUCGA